Zingiber officinale is the source of this 108-nucleotide small nucleolar RNA. The record is from RefSeq and is a predicted model, not a curated record. NCBI's taxonomy places the organism in Eukaryota, Viridiplantae, Streptophyta, Magnoliopsida, Zingiberales, Zingiberaceae.
AAACCAUGAUGAGAACACUAUCGUAAUAAAAACUUUUAAAUCUAUCCUAUGCUUCAAAUAAUGAUUCUCCAUCUACUUGAGCAAAGCUUGUAAUUCUAUUCCUCAUAU